CUACGGGCGGCACCAGUCGAGAAUAGUCUACAACGGACGAAAGUCUGAUAGUGCGACGCCGCGUGGAUGAAGAAGCAUUUCGGUGUGUAAAGUCCUUUUCUGUGUGAGCAAUGUUUUCCAGGUUAAUAGCUUGGAGAAAGCGAUAUUAACACAGGAAUAAGCUCCGGCUAACUCCGUGCCAGCAGCCGCGGUAACACGGGGGGAGCAAGCGUUGUCCGGAAUUACUAGGCGUAAAGGGUAAGUAGGCGGAAUUGUAAGUCAGAUGUUAAAGGCACCGGCUCAACCGGUGUAUGGCAUUUGAUACUGUAAUUCUAGAGUAAGGUGGGGGAAGACGGAAUUCCUGGUGUAGCGGUGGAAUGCGCAGAUAUCAGGAGGAACACCAGAGGCGCAGGCGGUCUUCUAUACCAUUACUGACGCUCAAUUACGAAGGUGUGGGUAUCAAACAGGAUUAGAUACCCUUGUAGUC
This 466-nucleotide ribosomal RNA is filed under the name uncultured bacterium. RNAcentral's name for it is "partial 16S ribosomal RNA". It matches the Rfam family "Bacterial small subunit ribosomal RNA", at positions 339 to 795 of the family's 1533-position model. The record is from RNAcentral.